AAGUCGUAACAAGGUCUCCGUAGGUGAACCUGCGGAGGGAUCAUUACCGAGCGAGGGCCUCCGGGUCCAACCUCCCACCCUUUGUUUCUAUACCUGUUGCCUCGGGGGCGACCCGGCCUUCGGGCGUCGGGGCCCCCGGUGGACCGUCAACUCUGCAUCAUGGCGUCCGAGUACAAAUUGAAUCAAAAAAAACUUUUAACAACGGAUCUCUUGGUUCUG
Molecule: unclassified non-coding RNA, 219 nt
Filed under: Capnodiales sp.
Lineage: Eukaryota; Fungi; Ascomycota; Dothideomycetes; Capnodiales
Description: partial contains small subunit ribosomal RNA, internal transcribed spacer 1, and 5.8S ribosomal RNA
Rfam family: Eukaryotic small subunit ribosomal RNA (bases 1-46)
Source: RNAcentral